CCUACGGGGGGCAGCAGUGGGGAAUAUUGGACAAUGGGGGCAACCCUGAUCCAGCCAUGCCGCGUGUGUGAAGAGGGCCCUCGGGUUGUAAAGCACUUUCAGUGAGGAAGAACGCCUGGUGGUUAAUACCCAUCAGGAAAGACAUCACUCACAGAAGAAGCACCGGCUAACUCCGUGCCAGCAGCCGCGGUAAUACGGAGGGUGCGAGCGUUAAUCGGAAUUACUGGGCGUAAAGCGCGCGAAGGUGGCUUGAUAAGCCGGUUGUGAAAGCCCCGGGCUCAACCUGGGAACGGCAUCCGGAACUGUCAAGCUAGAGUGCAGGAGAGGAAGGUAGAAUUCCCGGUGUAGCGGUGAAAUGCGUAGAGAUCGGGAGGAAUACCAGUGGCGAAGGCGGCCUUCUGGACUGACACUGACACUGAGGUGCGAAAGCGUGGGUAGCAAACAGGAUUAGAUACCCUUGUAGUC
This 465-nucleotide ribosomal RNA is filed under the name Vreelandella stevensii. Its description in RNAcentral is "partial 16S ribosomal RNA". It matches the Rfam family "Bacterial small subunit ribosomal RNA", at positions 338 to 795 of the family's 1533-position model. Lineage: Bacteria; Pseudomonadati; Pseudomonadota; Gammaproteobacteria; Oceanospirillales; Halomonadaceae. The record is from RNAcentral.